RNAcentral lists this non-coding RNA (204 nucleotides) under Sphingobium sp. SYK-6. RNAcentral also lists the same sequence under 1 other name. Lineage: Bacteria; Pseudomonadati; Pseudomonadota; Alphaproteobacteria; Sphingomonadales; Sphingobiaceae. The record is from RNAcentral.
CGAUGUCCACGCCGUCGAGGUUCUCCGUCUGGCCCAUGCCGGACGGAGCCAAGAGGGAAGCCGGUGGAAAGCCGGCGCUGCCCCCGCAACUGUAAGCGGCGAGCGGCGGUCAUCACGCGUCACUGGCAAGCACGCUUGCCGGGAAGGCCAGACCGUCCGCGCCGACCCGCGAGCCAGGAGACCUGCCUCCGACGCGAUAACGUC